CUUGCUUCUUGUUGAGCUUCCUUGCAAUCCAUGCUUUGAAUUCUUUAUUUGUUAUUUCUGAGUUUCCAUUUUAGUUAGGAAUUAUUGCUGGAGAGCUAGUGUGAUCCUUUGGUGGUAUCACUACUUUCAGAUUUUUCAUGGUGCCAGAAUUGGUAUGCUGGUUCUUUCUCAUCAGGAGAAGCUGGCACUUCUAAUUUUUGUUAAUUAUUUUCAUGUGGGUAGAUUUUUUUUUCCUUUUUCUUUCUUUCACUAUAAUAUUAUUGCUAUUUUCUUUCAUUUUUCCUCUUCGCCUUCCCUAGAGAAUGUGAUUGUAGAGAAUGCUGGGUAGGUAUUUUGGCUUUGCUUCUAUAGCCUUAUGGACUCAUGUCAGCAGGUUUUAUAUUGGGCUGUGCAGUUCAACAUAAAAGCCAGUAGAUGGCACUUAUAGGUAAGAGCUGGUUGCAGUCAACACUGCUGGGUAUAUACUUGAUCUUUGUUUACUGGGAGAAGCUUUCUGUUGCUUCAGGCAAAGAGCUGAUUCAAGGAGUGCACAGUGGUAUGAGCUCACUGGUCAGCCCCUGGCUGGUGGGGACCAAUAUGGACAGGGCUGGACCCAACCUGGGAGAAUGUCUGCAGCUUUUCCCAAUGUUUUUCCAUCACAACAUUUCCAAGCCUCUCCCCAAAUUCGCUUCAGGCCAUAGGAGAAACAAAGUGCUCUCCCUCAGUCCGGGUUGCUUGGAUGCCCGGUGGAAAGCUGAGGAAGUGGAAUGAGGGAGGCUCUCUGCCCCUCUCACAUACUGGGGCUACACUCCCUUUUAUUAAGCAGAUGCCAUCACAAGACUGUUCGCCCACAUUCUCCACCCUGGAUUCUGGAGUGACCUUCGUGAUUCCUGUGGAUUCCCAAUUUCCUUCUGGAAUUAAAGCUCACAGAACUGAUCUUUAUGCACGUUCUUGCUAUUUCCAACUGGCUGAGGCAUGCUAAAUGCCUCUAAUUCACCAUCUUGGAAAAAAGAUCACUUUUUUCCUAAUGUAGGAAUUUAAAGCUAUAUAUUUUUCCCUUAGCAUUGCUAAGUGCCAUUUCACAAAUUUUGAUAUGUUGUAUUCUCAUUAUCAUUUGGUUAAAAAUGUGUCUAAUUUCAUUUUUCUAAUAUUAUAAUUUCCUUUUUAGUCUAUGAAUUAUUUAGAAGAAUUUUAUGCUCAAUAUUGUGGAUUUUGAAAUAUUUUAUUAUUGAUUUCUAAUUUAAAUCUAUC
RNAcentral lists this long non-coding RNA (1230 nucleotides) under Papio anubis (olive baboon). RNAcentral describes it as "lncRNA (ENSPANG00000041236.1)". The record is from RNAcentral. Lineage: Eukaryota; Metazoa; Chordata; Mammalia; Primates; Cercopithecidae.